This 255-nucleotide ribosomal RNA is filed under the name Triticum aestivum (bread wheat). Its description in RNAcentral is "partial small subunit ribosomal RNA". Lineage: Eukaryota; Viridiplantae; Streptophyta; Magnoliopsida; Poales; Poaceae. The record is from RNAcentral.
AUGCAUGAGUUGGAGAGGAAGUUGUGCGUUGUUGGAUUAUGGUGCAUUCAGAUGAAGUCCCAUGACAGGCCAACAAUGAGCGAAGUCAUAGAGAUGCUCGAAGGUGGCUUGGAUGGCCUGCAAAUGCCUUCCAGGCCAUUCUUCUGCGACGAUGAGUACACCACUGUUCUGGAUUCUUACCCUUUGUUAUUCGAGAUGACCGAGAUCUUGGAGGAGGAUGAGGUCUCAGAUUCUUAUGUGUCCCGUGUCCUGUGA